Molecule: long non-coding RNA, 972 nt
Organism: Micropterus dolomieu (smallmouth bass)
Lineage: Eukaryota; Metazoa; Chordata; Actinopteri; Centrarchiformes; Centrarchidae
Exons: 3
Source: RefSeq, a predicted model, not a curated record
AAUUGAGUAAGUUACCCGACACACAUAACGCUAAUCUUGCGGCCUCAUGGGAAAUCUGCCUCUCUGCCUUAGCAACAACCAACAAGUGGCAGCAAGAGGGAAGGACACGCCACAAGAAGCACCUGGAAUAUUCCCUGCAAACUCUGCACCAACACCACUGAGGGAAAGAAGCUGAACGAAGAUAACAAAACAGCAGCAAGACACCUCCAUUGUUUGGGAGGGGCUGGGCGGCAUCUGGCCACCCUGCGAGCCCUGGGACAGGGUGCGGGAGCGAGAGCGGGACCCAUCCAUGGAGUAGGAGGACGAGAGGGAGGUGGUGCGAGAGCGGGACAGGCGGGUCAUGCAAGAUGAAGCCACUGUGGAUAAAUGGAUAGAAAGAUGUGGAUAGACCAAUUAGAAAUCAAUGCAAACACUAUGCAACAUCUAAAAUGAUAAGGCAGGUAGUUUUUUAACAUUAAUGGAGCUCUAAAACACAUAUGGAUUAAGCUAUAUCAGGCUUUGGCUACACAGACAAUACUUGUUAAUAGGAUCAAUUAAUUGUUAGUUUUGGUCUUUUCAUGGGACUUGAUAAGGCUGGUGAUACACAAAAUGCUUGUUUUGAGCAAGACUGCACACAACCGGCAAGAAUAGGUGGUUUAACAUAUACUAUGCAUGUGAUGAAAUCCUACAAUGGAGCACUUUGGCAAUUAUUACCUUAUGUAUCACUGUAUGUGUAAUAUGUACGUAAAUUCUUUUACUGGAUGAAGUGAACUUACUGUAGCCCAUUCCCUGGAUGAAAUACUUGAACGCCUCAGUCAGUUUAGCAGGCUGCAAAAACAUUGAAAAGAAAUGGUGUUUUAUAUUCCAUCUAUACAAUUACUCAUUUUUACAUUAGCUUUAACAUCCAUGUUGUAAAUAUCAGAAUCAGAAACACUUUAUUGUAUACUGAAUAUUACAACUGGGGAUAUUGCACAUUAAAUAAUAUUUACAAAA